GGGUUGUGAGGUUAAGCGACUAAGCGUACACGGUGGAUGCCCUGGCAGUCAGAGGCGAUGAAGGACGUGCUAAUCUGCGAUAAGCGUCGGUAAGGUGAUAUGAACCGUUAUAACCGGCGAUUUCCGAAUGGGGAAACCCAGUGUGAUUCGUCACACUAUCAUUAACUGAAUCCAUAGGUUAAUGAGGCGAACCGGGGGAACUGAAACAUCUAAGUACCCCGAGGAAAAGAAAUCAACCGAGAUUCCCCCAGUAGCGGCGAGCGAACGGGGAGGAGCCCAGAGCCUGAAUCAGUGUGUGUGUUAGUGGAAGCGUCUGGAAAGGCGCGCGAUACAGGGUGACAGCCCCGUACACAAAAAUGCACAUAUUGUGAGCUCGAUGAGUAGGGCGGGACACGUGGUAUCCUGUCUGAAUAUGGGGGGACCAUCCUCCAAGGCUAAAUACUCCUGACUGACCGAUAGUGAACCAGUACCGUGAGGGAAAGGCGAAAAGAACCCCGGCGAGGGGAGUGAAAAAGAACCUGAAACCGUGUACGUACAAGCAGUGGGAGCACGCUUAGGCGUGUGACUGCGUACCUUUUGUAUAAUGGGUCAGCGACUUAUAUUCUGUAGCAAGGUUAACCGAAUAGGGGAGCCGAAGGGAAACCGAGUCUUAACUGGGCGUUAAGUUGCAGGGUAUAGACCCGAAACCCGGUGAUCUAGCCAUGGGCAGGUUGAAGGUUGGGUAACACUAACUGGAGGACCGAACCGACUAAUGUUGAAAAAUUAGCGGAUGACUUGUGGCUGGGGGUGAAAGGCCAAUCAAACCGGGAGAUAGCUGGUUCUCCCCGAAAGCUAUUUAGGUAGCGCCUCGUGAAUUCAUCUCCGGGGGUAGAGCACUGUUUCGGCAAGGGGGUCAUCCCGACUUACCAACCCGAUGCAAACUGCGAAUACCGGAGAAUGUUAUCACGGGAGACACACGGCGGGUGCUAACGUCCGUCGUGAAGAGGGAAACAACCCAGACCGCCAGCUAAGGUCCCAAAGUCAUGGUUAAGUGGGAAACGAUGUGGGAAGGCCCAGACAGCCAGGAUGUUGGCUUAGAAGCAGCCAUCAUUUAAAGAAAGCGUAAUAGCUCACUGGUCGAGUCGGCCUGCGCGGAAGAUGUAACGGGGCUAAACCAUGCACCGAAGCUGCGGCAGCGACGCUNNNNNNNNNNNNNNNNNNNNNNNNNNNNNNNNNNNNNNNNNNNNNNNNNNNNNNNNNNNNNNNNNNNNNNNNNNNNNNNNNNNNNNNNNNNNNNNNNNNNNNNNNNNNNNNNNNNNNNNNNNNNNNNNNNNNNNNNNNNNNAUGCUGGAGGUAUCAGAAGUGCGAAUGCUGACAUAAGUAACGAUAAAGCGGGUGAAAAGCCCGCUCGCCGGAAGACCAAGGGUUCCUGUCCAACGUUAAUCGGGGCAGGGUGAGUCGACCCCUAAGGCGAGGCCGAAAGGCGUAGUCGAUGGGAAACAGGUUAAUAUUCCUGUACUUGGUGUUACUGCGAAGGGGGGACGGAGAAGGCUAUGUUGGCCGGGCGACGGUUGUCCCGGUUUAAGCGUGUAGGCUGGUUUUCCAGGCAAAUCCGGAAAAUCAAGGCUGAGGCGUGAUGACGAGGCACUACGGUGCUGAAGCAACAAAUGCCCUGCUUCCAGGAAAAGCCUCUAAGCAUCAGGUAACAUCAAAUCGUACCCCAAACCGACACAGGUGGUCAGGUAGAGAAUACCAAGGCGCUUGAGAGAACUCGGGUGAAGGAACUAGGCAAAAUGGUGCCGUAACUUCGGGAGAAGGCACGCUGAUAUGUAGGUGAAGUCCCUCGCGGAUGGAGCUGAAAUCAGUCGAAGAUACCAGCUGGCUGCAACUGUUUAUUAAAAACACAGCACUGUGCAAACACGAAAGUGGACGUAUACGGUGUGACGCCUGCCCGGUGCCGGAAGGUUAAUUGAUGGGGUUAGCCGCAAGGCGAAGCUCUUGAUCGAAGCCCCGGUAAACGGCGGCCGUAACUAUAACGGUCCUAAGGUAGCGAAAUUCCUUGUCGGGUAAGUUCCGACCUGCACGAAUGGCGUAAUGAUGGCCAGGCUGUCUCCACCCGAGACUCAGUGAAAUUGAACUCGCUGUGAAGAUGCAGUGUACCCGCGGCAAGACGGAAAGACCCCGUGAACCUUUACUAUAGCUUGACACUGAACAUUGAGCCUUGAUGUGUAGGAUAGGUGGGAGGCUUGGAAGUGUGGACGCCAGUCUGCAUGGAGCCGACCUUGAAAUACCACCCUUUAAUGUUUGAUGUUCUAACGUUGACCCGUAAUCCGGGUUGCGGACAGUGUCUGGUGGGUAGUUUGACUGGGGCGGUCUCCUCCUAAAGAGUAACGGAGGAGCACGAAGGUUGGCUAAUCCUGGUCGGACAUCAGGAGGUUAGUGCAAUGGCAUAAGCCAGCUUGACUGCGAGCGUGACGGCGCGAGCAGGUGCGAAAGCAGGUCAUAGUGAUCCGGUGGUUCUGAAUGGAAGGGCCAUCGCUCAACGGAUAAAAGGUACUCCGGGGAUAACAGGCUGAUACCGCCCAAGAGUUCAUAUCGACGGCGGUGUUUGGCACCUCGAUGUCGGCUCAUCACAUCCUGGGGCUGAAGUAGGUCCCAAGGGUAUGGCUGUUCGCCAUUUAAAGUGGUACGCGAGCUGGGUUUAGAACGUCGUGAGACAGUUCGGUCCCUAUCUGCCGUGGGCGCUGGAGAACUGAGGGGGGCUGCUCCUAGUACGAGAGGACCGGAGUGGACGCAUCACUGGUGUUCGGGUUGUCAUGCCAAUGGCACUGCCCGGUAGCUAAAUGCGGAAGAGAUAAGUGCUGAAAGCAUCUAAGCACGAAACUUGCCCCGAGAUGAGUUCUCCCUGACCCUUUAAGGGUCCUGAAGGAACGUUGAAGACGACGACGUUGAUAGGCCGGGUGUGUAAGCGCAGCGAUGCGUUGAGCUAACCGGUACUAAUGAACCGUGAGGCUUAACCUUACAACGCCGAAG
RNAcentral lists this ribosomal RNA (3012 nucleotides) under Escherichia coli O25:NM str. E2539C1. Its description in RNAcentral is "partial 23S ribosomal RNA". It matches the Rfam family "Bacterial large subunit ribosomal RNA". The record is from RNAcentral. Lineage: Bacteria; Pseudomonadati; Pseudomonadota; Gammaproteobacteria; Enterobacterales; Enterobacteriaceae.